AUACGUAGGGGGCGAGCGUUGUCCGGAAUGAUUGGGCGUAAAGGGCGCGUAGGCGGCCCGGUAAGUCUGGAGUGAAAGUCCUGUUUUUAAGAUGGGAAUUGCUUUGGAUACUGUCGGGCUUGAGUGCAGGAGAGGUAAGUGGAAUUCCCAGUGUAGCGGUGAAAUGCGUAGAGAUUGGGAGGAACACCAGUGGCGAAGGCGACUUACUGGACUGUAACUGACGCUGAGGCGCGAAAGUGUGGGGAGCAAACAGGAUUAGAUACCCUGGUAGUCCACACUGUAAACGAUGAAUGCUAGGUGUAAGAGGUAUCGACCCCUUUUGUGCCGGAGUCAACACAAUAAGCAUUCCGCCUGGGGAGUACGGCCGCAAGGUUGAAACUCAAAUGAAUUGGCGGGG
RNAcentral lists this ribosomal RNA (397 nucleotides) under uncultured bacterium. RNAcentral's name for it is "partial 16S ribosomal RNA". It matches the Rfam family "Bacterial small subunit ribosomal RNA", at positions 523 to 918 of the family's 1533-position model. The record is from RNAcentral.